CUCCUCUCAGUAUCAAACCUGGAGAGUUUCUAAUACUCUGCCAGUCUUGGCUAUGGGAGGGAAAGUCAAGCAGAGGCAUACCCAUUCCAUUCCUAGCUUCAGCAGUGAUUAGUGAGUGAAAGGCAAUUUGCUGCAAGU
Tachyglossus aculeatus (Australian echidna) is the source of this 138-nucleotide small nucleolar RNA. The record is from RefSeq and is a predicted model, not a curated record. NCBI's taxonomy places the organism in Eukaryota, Metazoa, Chordata, Mammalia, Monotremata, Tachyglossidae.